RNAcentral lists this long non-coding RNA (724 nucleotides) under Calidris pugnax (ruff). Its description in RNAcentral is "lncRNA (ENSCPUG00000018084.1)". Lineage: Eukaryota; Metazoa; Chordata; Aves; Charadriiformes; Scolopacidae. The record is from RNAcentral.
GUGGGGAAAUUUUAAGGACAUCUACCAACACCUGGUGAACCAGCACCUGGCUUGGAGCUGGCAUUCGGUUUGCCCAAAAUUGUGAACAGGGAUUGCAAUUAUCCCAGCUAUUUGCACGCGUUUCUGUGGUCUGAGUUAACCCCGUCACUCAGGAAUUUUAUAUACAUUUAUGUUAGAGAAAACACUCACACCUGUAAUCUAAAAAGCCAAGAGAGAUAAUACUCUCUAAAGCAUAUGGCAAGGAGGAAAAAAAAACAGCCCUGGAAAUAUGAUGUUUUAAUGCAAUGGCUUCUUCUCACCCAGAAACGCGUGUUGAGUUCUGGCCGAGAGAAAGAUGCAGGAGAAAUGAAAAAAUGAUAGUAAUACUUUCCUGAAUAAAAUAUAAUUGCUCUGUGAGAUUCCCUGCAACAGGUUAUUACUGAUUUCAAAGUACUUGGCGGAAUUCAUAGAAAACCAGAUGAGAAGAUACCUUCUUGGCCUCGCAGUCAGUCCGCUGUCCUCGCCAGCGCCUUCGGCACAAAGGCUUUUGUGGGUUUUUGCCUCCCCGGUGUCAAGAGUGGCUGCUUCAGGGCUCCAGCCCAGGUCAGGUCUCGUGGCUGUUGCUUCGUGGGGAGAAAGCACAAGGUGUCCCCGGCCCGCGGCGUCCCCAGGCUGGGAGGAGGCAGGAGCCAGCCCCGAGGGCGAGGUACCUUGGCAGGAAGAUGGGGCUUUCACGGCAUUGGGC